This 652-nucleotide long non-coding RNA is filed under the name Capra hircus (goat). RNAcentral's name for it is "lncRNA (ENSCHIG00000003624.1)". The record is from RNAcentral. Lineage: Eukaryota; Metazoa; Chordata; Mammalia; Artiodactyla; Bovidae.
CUGAAUUUCCAAUCGUUUCCCCAAAAUAUUUAGUUUUUUCCAUCCUCUUCAUUAAAAAUAUCUCAUGUCCUUGAGCUGCACCUCAUGAAGGAGGAACGAGAGUGUCCCUGUUUCUCCUGACACUUCUUAUGGACUGUGUAUCAAGGAACCACCCCUGGGGACCAUCGGGCCUCACACCCUUCUGGAAAACUGACUCUGAUGAACCAAAUUCGAGGUGAGAAGGAGACAAGAGCAGUAACCACAUGAAAAUUACGUGGUUUGUGUUUAAAUCAAGACACCAAAAUCAAAGGCGGCAUGUGACAGACCCUACAUUGUUGCCAGAAUUUACAAAACUGGCCUCUUUUGCCAGGCUGAGAAUCCACAGAGGCUGGCCAGAGAGAAGUCUGAGGAGCAGCCAGGAGCCUCUCCAGUUGUGAUGUGGAAUUUGCAAGAGGAUCCUGGGCCAGGGUCCACAGAAUUGCGUGUGUCCUGCACCAGGCCGUGUCAGCACACCAUGUUUCCUAGCUCUCUGGGAACCCAAACAAAGAAGAGACACCCAUGGCAACCUGAUUGCCAAGCUGUGCCUCCCUCUCAGCCCCCCAGAUCUGGUGUCAUCUUUACAGGAGGCGCUCCUGUUGAUCUCAGCCAGUCCUUUGGGCAACAAGUGGGCUGA